AUGCACGCUGGCGGCGUGCCUAAUACCUGCAAGUCGCGCGCACAGACGAGGAGCUUGCUCCUCUGACGUUAGCGGCGGACGGGUGAGUAACACGUGGAUAACCUACCUAUAAGACUGGGAUAACUUCGGGAAACCGGAGCUAAUACCGGAUAAUAUAUUGAACCGCAUGGUUCAAUAGUGAAAGACGGUUUUGCUGUCACUUAUAGAUGGAUCCGCGCCGCAUUAGCUAGUUGGUAAGGUAACGGCUUACCAAGGCGACGAUGCGUAGCCGACCUGAGAGGGUGAUCGGCCACACUGGAACUGAGACACGGUCCAGACUCCUACGGGAGGCAGCAGUAGGGAAUCUUCCGCAAUGGGCGAAAGCCUGACGGAGCAACGCCGCGUGAGUGAUGAAGGUCUUCGGAUCGUAAAACUCUGUUAUUAGGGAAGAACAAAUGUGUAAGUAACUAUGCACGUCUUGACGGUACCUAAUCAGAAAGCCACGGCUAACUACGUG
Molecule: ribosomal RNA, 496 nt
Filed under: uncultured bacterium
Lineage: Bacteria
Description: partial 16S ribosomal RNA
Rfam family: Bacterial small subunit ribosomal RNA
Source: RNAcentral